Molecule: ribosomal RNA, 318 nt
Filed under: uncultured eukaryote
Lineage: Eukaryota
Description: partial 18S ribosomal RNA
Rfam family: Eukaryotic small subunit ribosomal RNA
Source: RNAcentral
CCCUUAGAUGUUCUGGGCUGCACGCGCGCUACACUGACAUACUCAGCAAGUUUCCUUUCCCGAAAGGGUUGGGUAAUCUUGUUAGUGUAUGUCGUGAUGGGGAUAGAAUAUUGUAAUUAUUGCUCUUUAACGAGGAAUUCCUAGUAAGCGCAAGUCAACAGCUUGCGCUGAUUACGUCCCUGCCCUUUGUACACACCGCCCGUCGCACCUACCGAUUGAAUGGUCCGGUGAAAUCUCGGGACGGCGGCUUGGUCGCUUGCGUCCGACUGCUGAAACUUGAUUAAACCAUAUCAUUUAGAGGAAGGUGAAGUCGUAACA